AGACACUGACUGAGGGAGGAGCUGUGUGGACAGAUACAGUCUCUCAAGUACAGGAUGAUACAUACAGAAUGGUUGUGAGGUCUGUGGGGUUACAUUUGAUGGAAGUAUCAGCACACAUGGUCAGCCCCAGCACCUUCCUACCACAUCUGGGUGCUUUCACUGCCUCCCACCUUCAGUUCUGCUGCUGCUGUUGCAGGUUCACCUGAGGCUGAAUUGGCAGUCCUGGGAGCCCAGCCUGCAGCUUUUGCACCGGGAGGAGCUGCUGCCAGAAAUGCUCAGUCAGGUUAGUGGAUAUGGUGAGCUGGCUCUGCCGGGGAAGAGA
Poecile atricapillus (Black-capped chickadee) is the source of this 322-nucleotide long non-coding RNA. RefSeq lists it as uncharacterized. The transcript has 3 exons. Lineage: Eukaryota; Metazoa; Chordata; Aves; Passeriformes; Paridae. The record is from RefSeq and is a predicted model, not a curated record.